CUACGGGGUGCACCAGUGGGGAAUAUUGGACAAUGGGCGAAAGCCUGAUCCAGCAAUGCCGCGUGUGUGAAGAAGGCCUGAGGGUUGUAAAGCACUUUCAGUAGUGAGGAAAUGUUUAAGGUUAAUACCCUUGAAUCUUGACGUUAACUACAGAAGAAGCACCGGCUAACUCCGUGCCAGCAGCCGCGGUAAUACGGAGGGUGCAAGCGUUAAUCGGAAUUACUGGGCGUAAAGCGCGCGUAGGCGGUUUGGUCAGUCAGAUGUGAAAGCCCCGGGCUCAACCUGGGAAUUGCAUUUGAUACUGCUAAACUCGAAUGUGGUAGAGGGAAGUGGAAUUCCAGGUGUAGCGGUGAAAUGCGUAGAGAUCUGGAGGAACAUCAGUGGCGAAGGCGGCUUCCUGGACCAACAUUGACGCUGAGGUGCGAAAGCGUGGGUAGCAAACAGGAUUAGAUACCCCAGUAGUC
RNAcentral lists this ribosomal RNA (464 nucleotides) under uncultured bacterium. RNAcentral's name for it is "partial 16S ribosomal RNA". It matches the Rfam family "Bacterial small subunit ribosomal RNA", at positions 339 to 795 of the family's 1533-position model. The record is from RNAcentral.